UGCCAGCAGCCGCGGUAACACGAACUGUGCAAACGUUAUUCGGAAUCACUGGGCUUAAAGAGUUCGUAGGCGGCAUGGUAAGUCAGGUGUGAAAUCCCACAGCUCAACUGUGGAACUGCGCUUGAUACUGCUAAGCUAGAGGAGGUCAGAGGUGAGCGGAACUCACGGUGGAGCGGUGAAAUGCGUUGAUAUCGUGAGGAACACCGGUGGCGAAAGCGGCUCACUGGGGCCUUUCUGACGCUGAGGAACGAAAGCUAGGGUAGCGAACGGGAUUAGAUA
Molecule: ribosomal RNA, 279 nt
Filed under: uncultured bacterium
Lineage: Bacteria
Description: partial 16S ribosomal RNA
Rfam family: Bacterial small subunit ribosomal RNA
Source: RNAcentral